GCCCGCGUAGCUCGGCGGCUAGAGCGCCUGCUUCCGAAGCAGGAGGUGCCGAGUUCGAUUCUCGGCGUGGGUA
RNAcentral lists this transfer RNA (73 nucleotides) under Mycolicibacterium peregrinum. RNAcentral's name for it is "tRNA-Arg". It matches the Rfam family "tRNA". From Rfam's summary of the family: Transfer RNA (tRNA) molecules are approximately 80 nucleotides in length. Their secondary structure includes four short double-helical elements and three loops (D, anti-codon, and T loops). Lineage: Bacteria; Bacillati; Actinomycetota; Actinomycetes; Mycobacteriales; Mycobacteriaceae. RNAcentral also lists the same sequence under 2 other names. The record is from RNAcentral.